CAGGUUUUGAAAAAAAUAUUGACUUUGACCCAUCUCCAUCAACCCAGCGGAAAAAUGGGGUUGAGAAAAGGAAAAAAAGGAAGCCUGCCCUGUUGCCUCCAAGGAUGAACCUGUUCUGUGGGUCAGGAUCCAUUCCAAGAGCUGCCCAGUUGUCAAGUGUGACAUGACAGGAUAGAGAUGAAGAUAUUCACAGGAGGUCGUGCCUUCCAUUUCUGUGGAGCCUCCACUCCCAAGGAAGAAGAUGGAAAAGACUGAAGCUUUUACCACACAGGCCUGAGUGUUGCAUGCUUCUGCUACAGAGGAGGUCCAUGAGAUUUUGUUACAAUGUGGGCCAGCCCUUUUUAUUUAUCACUGGCUUCUUAAGGCUAAAGACUGCACUCCUUCACAGUCCUGUACACCUUCCAUCUGUGGAUCUCAACACAUGCUAUAUUCCUCAGUUGGUCCUCCAGGCCUCCUGUGAGAGGCCACGAUUGCUGUUUCCAUUUGGAAGAGGAAGAAGCCAAGACCCAACCAAGGUUUUAGUUGAUUUGCCCACAAAGAAAUGAAAAUGGGUGAAGCCUCAGUCUUCUGCUUUGUCUCUUAGAAAACGUUCUGAAUCGGAUCCAAGCAUGGCCCUUUGGACCCCCCAUAUCUGACCCAACUGUUCUCCAUGAUAUCAGGAACCCUCUGCAGUUUGAACCAACUGCUGUGCUUUCUUCUGCUGGCUUUCUUGCGGUCCUGCUAGCUGGGUGCUGGGAGAGGAAUGAGAGAAGCUGGCUGCUCAGCCAAACAGGAAUUCAGAGGAGAAGCUCUCUCUGGAAUGCUGUGGCCCAUGUUAACCAGUUCCAGAUUUACACAGCUCACGUCACUGCCUGAAAUGAGAAAUGGGCCUUGCUUAACCAUGGCAAAACAUAGCAACGGCACGGCAGUGCUGGCUGCAGCACAAAAACCAGUUUUUCAGGCUGUCUCAGGCUUCACAGCAGAGUAGGAGGCAAGGUUUCUGGGAACUGGGAGCUGGCUUAUGGUAAUGCCACCUCCACUAUGAGGUUGGGAUGAAAGCCCCAAACUCUUCUUGGUCUGGAGGGUCACAGACACUGGCGAGCUGGUACCUGUCCAUGGUACAGGGGGUGCACCAUAGAGCCUAAUGCAGUCUGCCUGGGGAUAGGGAAGGCCAGGGAUGGGGGUAGUGGAUCCACCAGAGGCUCUGUCUUCUGGGACAGGGGGCAGGAACAUUGUAUGGCAAGCCAAGGUUUUCAGUGCUGCUCCAUGGUCCAGAUCAUGCUGCACCACACAGGCAUGGCUUGUGAGUAGGGUGUUAGUCUCUGAACCUAGGAUUUUUGGACAUUCAAGGCAUCUCCUGUGCCUUUUAGGGGCUUGGAUGGGCCAAGGAGGGGUUACUUCUUGCCUAAACAAAAGGUCCUCCUUCAGCAUUUUGGACAGGGGAUUUUUAUGCUGUGUGAGCUGCUUGAUUGGGCUUGACAGAAUCAAGUCCCUGUGAGCAGUGGGGGUGUGGCAAUUUAGACCUGUAUGUUACAGUGGUACCUAACUCCAUAAUAGGCCAAAUCAAACUGGAGCUUAAUAUCCGGGACUGAGGAAGGUCAAAUGUGGAUGGUCCAGGCCCAUUUCCAAAGUGAGUACAGGCAGGUGACUUUUACUCUCACCCCUUCAACCACAUGUAAAAUGGCACUCAUCCAAGCCAGCCUCGAGAUUCAGCUGUAGGUUGCCAAGGUUCCGCACAUGAGUGAAGCUUAGAGAGAGGCAAAGGACCCCUUACCCUAUCCAGCCUGGCUUGAUCUGUGUGACUAGCUACCCUCCAGAAUGAGGAUGAGUUACCAGUCCAUCUCAUGAAGCAGUCCUUCAGGACUUAGUUCCUGUGAAUCUGGGGAAGGAAUUGGGACAACAGAGCAAGUGUUUACAGUUGUUUUGAGAGAUGAAGGACUGAGAGGAGGAGGAGGGCAUAUCAGGAAAUCCAAACCACCAGAAUGCAUCUUAUCAGUCUGGAAUUCUCUGCCUCCAUCAGGGAUAUUGAGGGUAUGCAACAUAGUGCGCCAUUCCAACCCACUGCGCAGUGUUGUACAGGGCAGGGAGAAGUUUUGAGAGAUCCUGGACUGUGGAUGCCCAGCCUCAGGAGCUGUGGUUGUCACCAUCAUGGCUUCAAAUGUUAUUAUUAGUUAUAGAAAGAGAUAUUACUUU
Long non-coding RNA from Gavialis gangeticus (Gharial), 2172 nucleotides. RefSeq lists it as uncharacterized. The record is from RefSeq and is a predicted model, not a curated record. The transcript is spliced from 3 exons. NCBI's taxonomy places the organism in Eukaryota, Metazoa, Chordata, Crocodylia, Gavialidae.